AACCCGCUCAGGUCCCCUCCCACGCUGUGGAAGCAUUGUUCUUUCACUGUUUGCAAUAAAUCUUGCUGCUGCUCGCUCUUUGGGUCCACACUGCCUUUAUGAGCUACAACACUUACCGCCAAGGUCUGCAGCUUCACUCCUGAGCCAGCGAGACCACGAACCCACCAGAAGGAAGAAACUCCGAACACAUCCAAACAUCAGAAGGAACAAACUCCAGACACGCCGCCUUUAAGAACUGUAACACUGCGAGGGUCCGCGGCUUCAUUCUUGAAGUCAGUGAGACCAAGAACCCACCAAUUCCGGACACACUACCUUCCACCUUCCAUGGAAGAUGCAGGAAGCUGUGUGUUUCCCUAGUUUCUAUUGCCCAGGAAUACUUCUGAUAAAACAUUAAGAAUGUGUUCCUGAAUUCUUACCAAAAACGAAACCAAAACUGUAAAAGCACAACUGGUGUAAUUCUGUAAGGAGAAAUACAAUCACCCCAGAUGUAAUUUAGAAAUAACUAGAAGUGAUUUGAACAAAUUAUUUAAAUUUUUUAUUUCUCCCAAGUAACCACCAGUUGUGAGGAACUUCUUUCGAAGUAGUAAUAACAGAUGGUACUUAUUGAACAUUCAGUAUCUGCCAAAUGCUGUUCUUAGCAUUUUAUAUGUAUUGAUUCAGUGAAUUCUUAUAGUAGCCCUGUAAGGCAGAGUUGCUAUAGAGAUGAGGAAAUGGUGGCACAGAGAGGUUAGGUAACAUGCUCAAGGUGCUUAGUCCCUCUCCUGAACUGGCAUGAAAGGUCUCUUCUGUUUAAUUUAUAAACAAUGAUAGAACAAAUAUUGAUAGUUCAUAGUGAUAAAAAUAAAUAAACCUUUAGGAAAAGCUCUUCCUUACAGUAGAACCCCAAAUAACAAAUGUAGAAGAAAUGAUCAAAUAGGAAAAACAUCAAUAUGGAAACUAGUGGGUGAAAUUUAAAUGAGAAACAGUAUAUUUACAUGGUCCAAAAAUAUCUCCCCACAAAUUAGUUAUUAAUUAUAAAGGG
RNAcentral lists this long non-coding RNA (1021 nucleotides) under Homo sapiens (human). Its description in RNAcentral is "non-protein coding lnc-CXCL2-4:1". The record is from RNAcentral. Lineage: Eukaryota; Metazoa; Chordata; Mammalia; Primates; Hominidae.